Molecule: non-coding RNA, 196 nt
Filed under: [Bacillus] enclensis
Lineage: Bacteria; Bacillati; Bacillota; Bacilli; Caryophanales; Bacillaceae
Source: RNAcentral
AUUUCAUUAUUGCCCGUUGGUGAAGGGGAUGAGAGUCCAUUCUCUUCUUAAAAGGGAAGCUGGUGGAAAUCCAGCGCGGUCCCGCCACUGUAAAGCUGAGAUUUCUUAUAUAGGACCACUGUUUCUUUUCGAAGCGGGAAGGGAUAAGAAAUCGGCGAAGCUGAGCCAGGAGACCUGCCAAUCGGGAAGAACACAU